This 2997-nucleotide long non-coding RNA is filed under the name Brachypodium distachyon (stiff brome). RNAcentral's name for it is "long non-coding RNA (BDIS_LNC004665)". The record is from RNAcentral. Lineage: Eukaryota; Viridiplantae; Streptophyta; Magnoliopsida; Poales; Poaceae.
AGGAAACCAAAUGACCUGGCAGGCAGAGGAGGAGCCACCGUAGCAAAGUUUGGCCACGUGGUGGUCAGAGUAAGUAUCAGGAGCAUGAGGAGGCCGCUCGAGGAGAAGAAAUAAAAAAAACGAACUAGAGAACAUCAGCUUCUUCAUUUCCCUUCGUUAGCAGUUCGUGGCAAUCCUCCAUGAACCAAGCUCUGAGCCAUAGUUUUCCCUGAGAAGGUGAAGUAUCAGGGGGGAAGAGAGGGAGCCAGCAGGGUCUAGGAACUAGGAAGGAGAUGGUGCAGCGGGGAGAGGUUGAUGCAGACGGGGAAGAGGGCCACACCGGCCCCGUUCCAGGCGUCAGAUCGAGGCGGCGGCGGCGGCGGCGAGAGGCUUAGGAGGAAGAGUGGAUUAAGAGACCAAUAGAGCUGGAGAAAUUUCUUGAGGUCUUAGGCGACCAAUUCCCCAACCAAAUUAUGUCACCCCCAAAUCCUCAACCAGUCAGGUAAUACCUUGUACUAGGGAGCACCACGAAUCUUAAUAAAUUGAUUCCUUGCUUGCUUGUUGGCUGAUCUGAUGUUUGGGUAAGAAAGAUAGGACUACGAUUGGCACAGUGUAUCUCCAAAUUUCAUAUAAUCAUAUGAUUUAAUAGCAGCCAUAAUUCCGUUCGUUCGAGUUGCAUAUCGAAUCCGUGUAUAUGUACAGCAUACACACACGCAAAAGGUUCAGAUUUAGGCCUUAAUAAACAAGAGAGUUAUUAGAGCAAUACCAUAUUCCAUUUGGGGAUGCGGAGAGAUGGAGUUAGUUACGAUAAGUUUAAGUUCUACUUGCUUUCAGUAAGAGGGGGGAAGAGUACACUGUUAAAUAGUUCAGAAAUAGGCUAGAGUAGUGUAGGUUCUGUUUUAUCAGGAACUGGAGCCAUAGGAUUUAAAUCCCAGAUUUUAAGAACUGAACCACAGCGUAGCUCAAUUGUCUGGUUUGCACAGCACAGGGGCAUCAAAUGUUUUUACAUGCACCUAACUUGUUACUAGGCAUCCAUAGGAGUUGGUUAGCAGAGUGAAUCUUAAUUUAAUAACAUGUAAUAGGCUAAACUUAACAAUAGGCAUCACUAUCCUGAACUAGUUAACCAAAAUUACUAGAGGUAGUAGAUCAAUGCAUUAGAACACGACAGAAUAGCCACGCAAGUGUAUUUCCUGAAGAAAUAAUAGUAGUACAUUACCUUCAAGUGCUAGCUGCUAGUAUAUAUGAUUGUCUGUUUGGACAAAUACACAUGCACAAAUCUGAAGUAAGAAAACAUACUUAAGCACCCAUUUCUAAUAUACCCUGGGAAUUAUGCUGACUGCUAUGCCAAAGAAUGCCUUGUUUGCAUGCAUGUUUGGUCGAGUAGACAUAAAGAAGCUAAACUGAAUCUUAUUGUUUUUAAGAUCAGGAUGGGUAGAAUAAUAGGGGUUAUCUUACAUAUAUCUGAAAAUUCAUUAAGGAUUAAUACCUGAUAGUUUAGACUCUGUUUGAGUAUUGCUGAAAUGAAGCCAUGCAAGAUAAACUAAGUAACCUUGACUGAAUAGAAUUAGUUAUUUGUGCUUCAUGCUUGUGCAUCCUGCUUCAUGCUUGUCCUCACUGGACUUUGUUGGCAAUAUUCCAGUUAAAUCUGCUUUGGAGUUCUUCUCGCUACUUUGAAGUUAUUACUGCUGAAUCGACCCUUCGUUGUAUUCUGCUUGAUCUUCCGGGUAUCUCAGGCAAGUCCAGUUCUUGUUCAUAUCUGAUGACUAUGUUUUAUCAAAGCUUUGCAAUGUAUUCUAUUGGUAUCACCUGCAUCAAAAGAAAAGUUAUCUUCUAAAUAAUAUGACCUGGAUGUUGUUGAUUGACUGAUGGAGCAGUCGAUGAACUAAUAUGGCUGGAUGAACUAAUAUGGCUGGUAGCUCGAACCCUGUUUGGAGGCUUUCAAGCCUGGCUUUCAUGCCGUGGAAAGUGGGUUCGACUACAAAGGAUAUCACCUUAAGGUUUAAUCAACAACGGACUACUUGUACUCGAGCGCCGUAGUGACCUCGUUGACCACAUGACCUUGUAUGGGCGGGGCUAAGCCGAAGUAAUGCCAUCUUAAUGUCCUACCUCCCUGGGAGCAGUUGGGGCGACCUCUACUAUAGGCGACCAAUUGCGAUAGAAUGAAUGACAGUUGGACUUUGACCUCUACUGUAGGCUACCAACUUGUCAUGGUGGGUAGCUGGUGUCUGAGUUCGCCGGCCAGCUACGUUGUGAGGUAACGGCAGAUGGGGUGGGUGAAAAGGCUCUGUGUCCAUGGGAGUGUUAUCCCCUCGAUGCAUGACUAUGGGCGUCUGUGGGUAAAGUAACGCACCUCUGCAGAGUGUAUUGAACCGUGGCUUGUCACUCCCUGUUCCGGGUAGGAACUGCGAUCGCGGCAGGAAAGGAGUCCAUUGGGGAUCCUAACAACCCGUGAGACAAGGAGAUCAGAGAUUUCAAAAUAUAACAACUUGACUCUUUUCUCAGAAAUAUUUUCAAAAAUCAUUGCUUAUUGGGGACCAUGGGUCCUAGUAGAACGUAGUGCAUUCAAACACAUGUUGCUAUCCUGGACUUGUUGAGUACCUUUUGUACUUAUACCCUAUAUAAACCUCCUUUGUAUAGGUGACCAACUCUUAGGACAGCAAAGGUGUUCCGUUUCAUGAUGGAGGCCAGGUGCACCAUGUAUCUUCGGAUGGGAACCAAAUUCAGGAACUCAAUCAUCACAGUGUUAUAUGGGUAGUGAAACAUUUAGAAGUUGAGUAAUGAAGCUGUUGUAAGUGUUGAGUUGUAUUUUGAUUUGUAAAGGUAAUUCUAAUUAUUCAUGUAUCGAAUCCACUGCAAUUGUUUCUGUUUACUACUUUGAGCGGCAUAUUACUUGAGAAAUUUCACUUCACUUGUAAUAUGUCGGAGAUCUGCGUGCUACUGGUUUAGUGGCAUGUCGGGUCGUGACAUACACAAAUUCUCAGAAACAAAAUAUUUUGGCAAGAGGUUUUUAGCUGAAGC